GUAAACCGGGUGAUCGCCCUGAGGUAUCAGGGAGGAAAGUCCGAACUCCACCGGGCAGGAUGCUGGGUAACACCCAGGAGGGGUGACCCUACGGAAAGUGCCACAGAAACAUACCGCCCUUCAGCGGAAGGGUAAGGGUGAAAUGGUGAGGUAAGAGCUCACCAGCGACUGGGUGACCGGUCGGCUGGGUAAACCCCAUCCGGAGCAAGACCGAAUAGAGGGACGCAGGGACGCCCGGCCCGUUCCCCGGGUUGGUCGCUCGACCCUUCCGGAAACGGAAGGGCUAGAUAGAUGGUCACCGUCCUUCUCGAAGGGGAAGGAUACAGAACUCGGCUUACAGGUUUACUUGA
This 350-nucleotide RNase P RNA is filed under the name marine eukaryotic metagenome. Its description in RNAcentral is "Bacterial RNase P class A". It matches the Rfam family "Bacterial RNase P class A". Rfam says of the family: Ribonuclease P (RNase P) is a ubiquitous endoribonuclease, found in archaea, bacteria and eukarya as well as chloroplasts and mitochondria. Its best characterised activity is the generation of mature 5'-ends of tRNAs by cleaving the 5'-leader elements of precursor-tRNAs. The record is from RNAcentral.